AGAGUUUGAUCCUGGCUCAGAGCGAACGUUAGCGGCGGGCCUAACACAUGCAAGUCGAACGAGAACGCUCCUUCGGGAGUUAUUAAAGUGGCGCACGGGUGAGGAACGCGUAGGUAAUUUACCCUUUGGCGGGGGACAACAUUCCGAAAGGAAUGCUAAUACCGCGUAAGACCACACUCACUACGGUGAGAGCGGUUAAAGGUGCCUCAAAGCACCACCAGAGGAUGAGCCUGCGUCCCAUCAGCUUGUUGGUAAGGUAAUGGCUUACCAAGGCGAAGACGGGUAGCUGGUCUGAGAGGAUGAUCAGCCACACUGGCACUGGAACACGGGCCAGACUCCUACGGGAGGCAGCAGUGAGGAAUAUUGGGCAAUGGGCGAAAGCCUGACCCAGCCACGCCGCGUGUGUGAUGAAGGCCUUCGGGUCGUAAAGCACUGUGGGGAGAGACGAAAAAGCGCAUCAGGAAAUGGUUGCGCCUUGACGGUACCUCCUUAGCAAGCACCGGCUAACUCUGUGCCAGCAGCCGCGGUAAUACAGAGGGUGCGAACGUUGCUCGGAUUUACUGGGCGUAAAGCGCGUGUAGGCGGACUCGCAAGUCGGUUGUGAAAUCCCUGGGCUUAACCUAGGAACUGCAUCCGAAACUGCUUGUCUUGAGUAAUGGAGAGGGUGGCGGAAUUCCCGGUGUAGAGGUGAAAUUCGUAGAUAUCGGGAGGAACAUCAGUGGCGAAGGCGGCCUCCUGGCUCAAUACUGACGCUGAGUGCGAAAGCGUGGGAGCAAACAGGAUUAGAUACCUGGUAGUACCACGCCGUAAACGAUGUCAACUAGCCGUUGGGAGACUUGAUUUCUUAGUGGCGCAGCUAACGCACUAAGUUGACCGCCUGGGGAGUACGGCCGCAAGGUUAAAACUCAAAUGAAUUGACGGGGGCCCGCACAAGCGGUGGAGCAUGUGGUUUAAUUCGAUGCAACGCGAAGAACCUUACCAGGUCUUGACAUCCUGCGAAUUUUCUAGAGAUAGAUUAGUGCCUUCGGGAACGCAGUGACAGGUGCUGCAUGGCUGUCGUCAGCUCGUGUCGUGAGGUGUUGGGUUAAGUCCCGUAACGAGCGCAACCCUUGUCCUUAGUUGCCAGCACAUAAUGGUGGGAACUCUAAGGAGACUGCCGGUGACAAACCGGAGGAAGGUGGGGACGACGUCAAGUCAUCAUGGCCCUUACGACCUGGGCUACACACGUGCUACAAUGGAACGCACAGAGGGCUGCAAUAGCGCGAGCUGGAGCUAAUCCCACAAAACGUUUCGUAGUCCGGAUUGGAGUCUGCAACUCGACUCCAUGAAGUCGGAAUCGCUAGUAAUCGUGGAUCAGAAUGCCACGGUGAAUACGUUCCCGGGCCUUGUACACACCGCCCGUCACACCAUGGGAGUGGGUUGCAAAAGAAGUGGGUAGACUAACCUUCGGGAGGUCGCUCACCACUUUGUGAUUCAUGACUGGGGUGAAGUCGUAACAAGGUAACC
RNAcentral lists this ribosomal RNA (1506 nucleotides) under uncultured bacterium. RNAcentral's name for it is "partial 16S ribosomal RNA". It matches the Rfam family "Bacterial small subunit ribosomal RNA". The record is from RNAcentral.